RNAcentral lists this ribosomal RNA (460 nucleotides) under uncultured bacterium. Its description in RNAcentral is "partial 16S ribosomal RNA". It matches the Rfam family "Bacterial small subunit ribosomal RNA", at positions 338 to 795 of the family's 1533-position model. The record is from RNAcentral.
CCUACGGGGGGCAGCAGUGAGGAAUAUUGGUCAAUGGACGAGAGUCUGAACCAGCCAAGUAGCGUGAAGGAUGACUGCCCUAUGGGUUGUAAACUUCUUUUAUAUGGGAAUAAAAUGUUCCACGUGUGGGAUUUUGUAUGUACCCUAUGAAUAAGGAUCGGCUAACUCCGUGCCAGCAGCCGCGGUAAUACGGAGGAUCCGAGCGUUAUCCGGAUUUAUUGGGUUUAAAGGGAGCGUAGGUGGAUUGUUAAGUCAGUUGUGAAAGUUUGCGGCUCAACCGUAAAAGUGCAGUUGAAACUGGCAGUCUUGAGUACAGUAGAGGUGUGCGGAAUUCGUGGUGUAGCGGUGAAAUGCUUAGAUAUCACGAAGAACUCCGAUUGCGAAGGCAGUUCACUGGACUGCAACUGACACUGAGGCUCGAAAGUGUGGGUAUCAAACAGGAUUAGAUACCCGAGUAGUC